RNAcentral lists this ribosomal RNA (394 nucleotides) under uncultured bacterium. Its description in RNAcentral is "partial 16S ribosomal RNA". It matches the Rfam family "Bacterial small subunit ribosomal RNA", at positions 523 to 918 of the family's 1533-position model. The record is from RNAcentral.
AUACGUAGGUGGCAAGCGUUAUCCGGAUUUAUUGGGUUUAAAGGGUGCGUAGGCGGAUGAUUAAGCGUGAGGUGAAAUGCCACUGCUCAACAGUGGAACUGCCUCGCGAACUGGUUGUCUUGAAUGCUCCUGCCGUGGGAGGAAUGUGUGGUGUAGCGGUGAAAUGCAUAGAGAUCACACAGAACACCGAUUGCGAAGGCAUCUCACGAAGGGGUGAUUGACGCUGAGGCACGAAAGCGUGGGGAUCAAACAGGAUUAGAUACCCUGGUAGUCCACGCAGUAAACGAUGAUAACUAACCGCUGGGUCGUAGUGAUUCAGUGGCCAAGCGAAAGCGAUAAGUUAUCCACCUGGGGAGUACGACCGCAAGGUUGAAACUUAAAGGAAUUGACGGGG